GCCGCCGCUGAGGCCGGAAGGAGCUAGACGGCGGUCGGAUUCCAGGGUCUGAGAGAGAGCCAAGAUGAAUAUGGCCUUCCAAGAAGACAUGCUGACAAGAAAAGACUCAGAGUGCCCAGGAGCUUCCCCUUCCUACCAACCCUGCAGCCUGGAACCCUAGCCAUACCUCUCCCUGACUGUGGACAGUACAGCCUUUGAGCUGAGCCAAGCUGCUCCCCUGGCGAUUUCCAUAAGAGUACCACUUAUCAGCACCUUGGACAGCAUACAAAUGAUUCUGCAUCUCCAGGAAGAACUGGUCCUUCAGCCAAGGGCAGCACUGAGCCCCAAGUGGCCCCAGAUGAGUGCAAAGGACUACCAGGGCUCCAUUUAAAUCUUCCUUUGGGCAAAACGGGAUCUUGCUGCUCAAAAAUAAUUUGAAAAAACUUUGACAUUUUGGGUUUGUGUCAGAAAGUCAUGGAUUUUUUUUUUUUUUUCGCCUAAGAAGCUAUCACCAGGAAGCGUCAAAUGAGCCCUGUGGACCAUGGCUGGCCUCUUAUCUUUGGGUUUCAGGAGGGACCUCCUGCUAGGUUCAUCUCCCCCCACAGCUCCUGAAAUGGAGUCAACUCUCCCAGGACGCCAAACAGGGCCCAGAAUUUGUUUGUGUGGAUUUACAUAAAAAGCUUCCCUGAAUGAAAUUCACUGAGAUUCACUGAAUGCAGGUGAGAUUCACAGAGUCC
RNAcentral lists this long non-coding RNA (716 nucleotides) under Homo sapiens (human). Its description in RNAcentral is "non-protein coding lnc-MFAP3-1:3". The record is from RNAcentral. Lineage: Eukaryota; Metazoa; Chordata; Mammalia; Primates; Hominidae.